GACGAACGCUGGCGGCGUGCUUAACACAUGCAAGUCGAACGGAAAGGCCCUGCUUUUGUGGGGUGCUCGAGUGGCGAACGGGUGAGUAACACGUGAGUAACCUGCCCUUGACUUUGGGAUAACUUCAGGAAACUGGGGCUAAUACCGGAUAGGAGCUCCUGCUGCAUGGUGGGGGUUGGAAAGUUUCGGCGGUUGGGGAUGGACUCGCGGCUUAUCAGCUUGUUGGUGGGGUAGUGGCUUACCAAGGCUUUGACGGGUAGCCGGCCUGAGAGGGUGACCGGCCACAUUGGGACUGAGAUACGGCCCAGACUCCUACGGGAGGCAGCAGUGGGGAAUAUUGCACAAUGGGCGGAAGCCUGAUGCAGCAACGCCGCGUGCGGGAUGACGGCCUUCGGGUUGUAAACCGCUUUCGCCUGUGACGAAGCGUGAGUGACGGUAAUGGGUAAAGAAGCACCGGCUAACUACGUGCCAGCAGCCGCGGUGAUACGUAGGGUGCGAGCGUUGUCCGGAUUUAUUGGGCGUAAAGGGCUCGUAGGUGGUUGAUCGCGUCGGAAGUGUAAUCUUGGGGCUUAACCCUGAGCGUGCUUUCGAUACGGGUUGACUUGAGGAAGGUAGGGGAGAAUGGAAUUCCUGGUGGAGCGGUGGAAUGCGCAGAUAUCAGGAGGAACACCAGUGGCGAAGGCGGUUCUCUGGGCCUUUCCUGACGCUGAGGAGCGAAAGCGUGGGGAGCGAACAGGCUUAGAUACCCUGGUAGUCCACGCUGUAAACGGUGGGUACUAGGUGUGGGGUCCAUUCCACGGGUUCCGUGCCGUAGCUAACGCUUUAAGUACCCCGCCUGGGGAGUACGGCCGCAAGGCUAAAACUCAAAGGAAUUGACGGGGCCCCGCACAAGCGGCGGAGCAUGCGGAUUAAUUCGAUGCAACGCGUAGAACCUUACCUGGGUUUGACAUGGAUCGGGAGUGCUCAGAGAUGGGUGUGCCUCUUUUGGGGUCGGUUCACAGGUGGUGCAUGCCUGUCGUCAGCUCGUGUCGUGAGAUGUUGGGUUAAGUCCCGCAACGAGCGCAACCCUUGUUCACUGUUGCCAGCACGUUAUGGUGGGGACUCAGUGGAGACCGCCGGGGUCAACUCGGAGGAAGGUGGGGAUGGCGUCAAGUCCUCAUGCCCCUUAUGUCCAGGGCUUCACGCAUGCUACAAUGGCUGGUACAGAGAGUGGCGAGCCUGUGAGGGUGAGCGAAUCUCGGAAAGCCGGUCUCAGUUCGGAUUGGGGUCUGCAACUCGACCUCAUGAAGUCGGAGUCGCUAGUAAUCGCAGAUCAGCAACGCUGCGGUGAAUAAGUUCCCGGG
RNAcentral lists this ribosomal RNA (1343 nucleotides) under uncultured bacterium. RNAcentral describes it as "16S ribosomal RNA". It matches the Rfam family "Bacterial small subunit ribosomal RNA", at positions 28 to 1378 of the family's 1533-position model. The record is from RNAcentral.